UACGGGGGGGGCAAGCGUUGUUCGGAAUUACUGGGCGUAAAGGGCUCGUAGGUGGCCAACUAAGUCAGACGUGAAAUCCCUCGGCUUAACCGGGGAACUGCGUCUGAUACUGGAUGGCUUGAGUUUGGGAGAGGGAUGCGGAAUUCCAGGUGUAGCGGUGAAAUGCGCAGAUAUCAGGAGGAACACCGGUGGCGAAGGCGGGUCUCUGGGCCGAUACUGACGCUGAGGAGCGAAAGCGUGGGGAGCGAACAGG
RNAcentral lists this ribosomal RNA (253 nucleotides) under uncultured bacterium. RNAcentral's name for it is "partial 16S ribosomal RNA". It matches the Rfam family "Bacterial small subunit ribosomal RNA", at positions 524 to 776 of the family's 1533-position model. The record is from RNAcentral.